This 500-nucleotide ribosomal RNA is filed under the name uncultured bacterium. RNAcentral's name for it is "partial 16S ribosomal RNA". It matches the Rfam family "Bacterial small subunit ribosomal RNA", at positions 30 to 523 of the family's 1533-position model. The record is from RNAcentral.
AUUGAACGCUGGCGGCAUGCCUUACACAUGCAAGUCGAACGGCAGCACGGGAGCAAUCCUGGUGGCGAGUGGCGAACGGGUGAGUAAAGUAUCGGAACGUGCCCAGUCGUGGGGGAUAACGUAGCGAAAGUUACGCUAAUACCGCAUACGAUCUAUGGAUGAAAGCGGGGGAUCGCAAGACCUCGCGCGAUUGGAGCGGCCGAUAUCAGAUUAGGUAGUUGGUGGGGUAAAGGCUCACCAAGCCGACGAUCUGUAGCUGGUCUGAGAGGACGACCAGCCAAACUGGGGCUGGGACACGGCCCAGACUCCUACGGGGGGCAGCAGUGGGGAAUUUUGGACAAUGGGCGAAAGCCUGGUCCAGCCAUGCCGCGUGCAGGAUGAAGGCCUUCGGGUUGUAAACUGCUUUUGUACGGAACGAAAAGGUUUGGCCUAAUAAGCUGAGCUCAUGACGGUACCGUAAGAAUAAGCACCGGCUAACUACGUGCCAGCCGCCGCCGUAA